This 522-nucleotide long non-coding RNA is filed under the name Podarcis muralis (Common wall lizard). RNAcentral's name for it is "lncRNA (ENSPMRG00000020228.1)". Lineage: Eukaryota; Metazoa; Chordata; Lepidosauria; Squamata; Lacertidae. The record is from RNAcentral.
CUGCGGGAGAAGGUGGGGUCGGCGCUUUGCGCCUGGGGAGAAGAGAGGCGCCGCGCGCUGCCCGUGGGACCCACGUCGGGCUGGCGUUCACGCCCGUGGGUGUGGGCACUGGAACCGCACCCGAACUGAACAGCUGCUUCCCGGCUCCAGCUGCCCCCGGAUGGGGAGGGGAAAACCUCGCCCAGGCGAGGCUCUCUAGCGGCCGCGGAGAGAGGGAGAGGGAGAAGGGGCAGGUAGAUGAGCGAGAGCAGCCGAGGGGCGAGAGGGGAGGGGAUUCCGGGCUGCCAAGAACCUUCCUCCUUCUGCCCCGCUUGGGAGGGCCAUGAGGGAGAGGGUGACCUCCAGCCAAACUAGAGAGCAGCCCGGUCAGAGCUUGGCAUGGCUCCAAUGAGCCCCUGUGUGGCCACUUCUCUCUUUGCUGCCUACCUCUGCCUUUGGAGAGGGUAAGUGAUUCACUGAGGUGCGGUGCUGUGGUGGGGGGAAUGGAGCUGUCCCAGAAAUUACUGCCCCUGUCCUGGUGGG